Long non-coding RNA from Ipomoea nil (Japanese morning glory), 627 nucleotides. RefSeq lists it as uncharacterized. The record is from RefSeq and is a predicted model, not a curated record. The transcript has 2 exons. Lineage: Eukaryota; Viridiplantae; Streptophyta; Magnoliopsida; Solanales; Convolvulaceae.
CCCAUUAAAUGUUGAUAAGAAUGGUUCAUUUCCUACUGCAACAUACCUUCAAGGGGGGGAAACAAUUAUUCAGCAAAGUAAAAGACAGGGCAGUUCUUGAAAUGAAGCCUGCAGAGUGUAUUGCUUGCAAGAAGAGCAAGGUACAUAUAAAGUACAGGAGGAGAGGUGGUUUGCUCUUGAAGAAAACAGAUUUGCAGCUUUUAAAAGAUAGAUAGAUGGUCAGUCUUGGAAACUGGACAAUAAUAUCAUCUGUGACUGUGGGUGAAAGAAGAUACCAACACAGAAGAGGCAAGAAAGCUAUACUGUUAUUGUUUCUAAAAACAAGAAAAAGAAUUAAGCACUUGGGAACUUUACACCUCAGAAAGCUAAGAGCACAAUGUUUUGUUGAGAAAACCAAUCUUGCUAAGGAAUACAAAAGAAAAAGAAGUAAAGCUAACUAAAGGGUCAUUUCUAGAGGAUCUCAGCAUUAGCCUCAUAUCAUAUAAAUAUAAUUGACAGGGCAAAGUGGAGCACCAAACGUAUGCUGAAGGUGACAAACAAUUUCUUCUUCACUUCACAAGCUAAGUGGACACGUAAUACAGUUUAUACUUCGAACAAGCAUUAAAUAAUGCAGACACAUUAUUUGAA